Molecule: ribosomal RNA, 273 nt
Filed under: uncultured bacterium
Lineage: Bacteria
Description: partial 16S ribosomal RNA
Source: RNAcentral
CUGCUGCCUCCCGUAGGAGUUUGGACCGUGUCUCAGUUCCAAUGUGGGGGACCUUCCUCUCAGAACCCCUACGCAUCGUCGGCUUGGUGGGCCGUUGCCCCACCAACUACCUAAUGCGCCGCAUGCCCAUCCGUGACCGGGGCCGCCCCCUUUGACCGGCAGGGGAUGUCCCCUCCCGGCAUUAUGUUGUAUUAGGCGGGAUUUCUCCCGGUUAUCCAUCUGUCACGGCCAGGUUGCAUACGUGUUACUCACCCGUGCGCCGGUCGCCGGCGG